Molecule: long non-coding RNA, 625 nt
Filed under: Salmo salar (Atlantic salmon)
Lineage: Eukaryota; Metazoa; Chordata; Actinopteri; Salmoniformes; Salmonidae
Description: lncRNA (ENSSSAG00000120403.1)
Source: RNAcentral
CCUCCUUAUCUUUACAAGGCUGCAGAACAUGCAAGCUAGUGAUGUGGGGGUUCUCUCAUAACCCUCAGUCCCCAGGUGGGUAGAUGGCAGGUUGAAUAAAGAGAAGCUAGUGAUGUGGGGGUUCUCUCAUAACCCUCAGUCCCCAGGUGGGUAGAUGGCAGGUUGAAUAAAGAGAAGCUAGUGAUGUGGGGGUUCUCUCAUAACCCUCAGUCCCCAGGUGGGUAGAUGGCAGGUUGAAUAAAGAGAAGCUAGUGAUGUGGGGGUUCGCUCAUAACCCUCAGUCCCCAGGUGGGUAGAUGGCAGGUUGAAUAAAGAGAAGCUAGUGAUGUGGGGGUUCUCUCAUAACCCUCAGUCCCCAGGUGGGUAGAUGGCAGGUUGAAUAAAGAGAAGCUAGUGAUGUGGGGGUUCUCUCAUAACCCUCAGUCCCCAGGUGGGUAGAUGGCAGGUUGAAUAAAUAGAAAACAAUAGGCAACAUAAAACAAUCCAUAAAUGUAUAAUUAUUAUGUAAUUUACACAAAACAUUAAGGACACCUUUUCUUUCCAUGACAAACUGACCAGGCGUAACUCAAUAUUAGGAAGGUAUCCUUAAUAUUUUGUCCACUCAGUGGCUCUGACCCUUUACGUA